UACGUAGGGUGCGAGCGUUGUCCGGAAUUAUUGGGCGUAAAGAGCUCGUAGGCGGUUUGUCGCGUCGGCCGUGAAAACUUGGGGCUUAACCCCAAGCCUGCGGUCGAUACGGGCAGACUUGAGUUCGGCAGGGGAGACUGGAAUUCCUGGUGUAGCGGUGAAAUGCGCAGAUAUCAGGAGGAACACCGAUGGCGAAGGCAGGUCUCUGGGCCAUAACUGACGCUGAGAAGCGAAAGCAUGGGGAGCGAACAGG
This 253-nucleotide ribosomal RNA is filed under the name uncultured bacterium. Its description in RNAcentral is "partial 16S ribosomal RNA". It matches the Rfam family "Bacterial small subunit ribosomal RNA", at positions 524 to 776 of the family's 1533-position model. The record is from RNAcentral.